GUGUGAAAGAGACUUAUUACAUGUUUUGUUCGGCGUUGUGAAAGCCGUGGUGCGGCCAACCAACACUAGAAUAUGGAGCUUUUGAGUGAACGUAUGUUGGUGCCAUGGCUUCAUUGAUUUUCCAAACACGCGCUUAAAAAGUGACGGUUUCCUUGGCAAAUGUAGGUCGGAUCAUCAGUUAUAACCUGGAUUUCAUUGUAUCUUUUCAACUACAUGAUUUCUAUGCUGAUUUAACCUGAUCACCUAUAGGACAUAGUUGAUAUUGCUGUGCCUUCUAGAAUAUCUAUUGUAUUAGAAGUAAAAAAAAAAAGAGUGAAAUUAUCCUAAGCAGAACUGAUUUCAUACAAUCAAAGCUUUAUAUUCACUUGAGUAUGCCUUAUCAAGGUUUCUUUUCUUAUCCAAUCAUG
Molecule: long non-coding RNA, 407 nt
Filed under: Trifolium pratense (red clover)
Lineage: Eukaryota; Viridiplantae; Streptophyta; Magnoliopsida; Fabales; Fabaceae
Description: long non-coding RNA (TPRA_LNC006315)
Source: RNAcentral